This 465-nucleotide ribosomal RNA is filed under the name uncultured bacterium. Its description in RNAcentral is "partial 16S ribosomal RNA". It matches the Rfam family "Bacterial small subunit ribosomal RNA", at positions 29 to 507 of the family's 1533-position model. The record is from RNAcentral.
AUGAACGCUGGCGGCGUGCUUAACACCUGCAAGUCGAACGGAAAGGCCAGUGCUUGCACUGGUACUCGAGUGGCGAACGGGUGGGUAACACGUGGGUGAUCUGCCCUGUACUUCGGGAUAAGCUUGGGAAACUGGGUCUAAUACCGGAUAGGACAACUUUUUGGAUAUUGUUGUGGAAAGCUUUUGCGGUAUGGGAUGAGCUCGCGGCCUAUCAGCUUGUUGGUGGGGUAAUGGCCUACCAAGGCGUCGACGGGUAGCCGGCCUGAGAGGGUGUACGGCCACAUUGGGACUGAGAUACGGCCCAGACUCCUACGGGAGGCAGCAGUGGGGAAUAUUGCACAAUGGGCGCAAGCCUGAUGCAGCGACGCCGCGUGGGGGAUGAAGGCCUUCGGGUUGUAAACUCCUUUCGCUAGGGACGAAGCGCAAGUGACGGUACCUGGAGAAGAAGCACCGGCUAACUACGUG